This 471-nucleotide ribosomal RNA is filed under the name uncultured Levilinea sp. RNAcentral describes it as "bacterial SSU rRNA". It matches the Rfam family "Bacterial small subunit ribosomal RNA", at positions 897 to 1382 of the family's 1533-position model. Lineage: Bacteria; Bacillati; Chloroflexota; Anaerolineae; Anaerolineales; Anaerolineaceae. The record is from RNAcentral.
AAACUUAAAGGAAUUGACGGGACCCCGCACAAGCAGCGGAGCGUGUGGUUUAAUUCGAUGAUACACGAAGAACCUUACCUGGGUUUGACAUGCAAGUGGUAGGAAACCGAAAGGGGACCGACCCUUCGGGGAGCUUGCACAGGUGCUGCAUGGCUGUCGUCAGCUCGUGUCGUGAGAUGUUCGGUUAAGUCCGCUAACGAGCGCAACCCUCGUCGUGUGUUACAAGUGUCACGCGAGACCGCCGAUGUCAAGUCGGAGGAAGGUGGGAUGACGUCAAGUCAGCAUGGCCUUUAUAUCCAGGGCUACACACACGCUACAAUGGUCAACACAAUAGGUCGCGAAACCGCGAGGUGGAGCCAAUCCUCAAAGUUGGCCUCAGUUCAGAUUGUAGGCUGCAACUCGCCUGCAUGAAGAUGGAGUUGCUAGUAACCGCAGGUCAGCACUACUGCGGUGAAUACGUUCCCGGGGUUU